This 407-nucleotide long non-coding RNA is filed under the name Gossypium barbadense (sea-island cotton). Its description in RNAcentral is "long non-coding RNA (GBAR_LNC020963)". Lineage: Eukaryota; Viridiplantae; Streptophyta; Magnoliopsida; Malvales; Malvaceae. The record is from RNAcentral.
UCUGAUUCAGUUCCUCUCUUGGACAUCAAGUAACGUUCUAGGGUUUCCAUAAAACCCUAAUUCUUGUGGUCUUCUUGCUGGCCGAACAUACCCACUCUUUUGCUUGAUCUUUCCUUUCGUUUUCAUUGUUUCUUGACUUCUUUUGUUUCUAAUUGAAUUGUUUGCAACCUCUAAUUGAAAAGAAAUAAACAAGAAUGCAUCCUCCUAUCAAACCGACCCUUGUUCUCAAAGACUCCAUGAUUUCAAUCGAUUUAUUCAUUCUUUCUUGUUCAAUUUGUUUCGAUAUCUUUGAUGCCCAAUCAAUUAAUAUAGAAUCUAACUUAGUUGUUUUGUGUUUCAGGUUGUUUCAAACAUCAAGUUCCUCUCGACUUGUCUAGAGCAAAUCCACAACUUGGACAACUUUCAAU